Acanthosepion pharaonis is the source of this 93-nucleotide non-coding RNA. The record is from the annotation of a GenBank genome assembly. Lineage: Eukaryota; Metazoa; Mollusca; Cephalopoda; Sepiida; Sepiidae.
GUUGGAUCACCGGUUCCCGUAUGAUCACCAAAGUUAAGCAACGUCGGGUCCGCUCAGUACCGAGAUGGUUGGCCACUUGGGAAUACCAGGUAC